GACACUUGGAGUUUGUUUUAGUUGUAUUUACCCAGAAUGCCCUGCGCUGUAGGCUACUUCCUGCUUUUGGAGCGUUGUCUCCGGUCGCUUCGCGUUCACUUCAGCAGAAGUGCUAGGUUUGUAGGCGGACAAGAGUUCGCUGUACUGCUGGAGUCGGAUUUCCAAGAACUCUUUGAAACCGAUGCUUGAUGCACCAAUUUACGAGGAGGAGAUCAGAGCGCAGCAGCGAUUGGCACCAGCUGGAUGAAAAUGUCUUAACUUUUAUUUGAAGGAUCUGAAUGUGAUUUACACGACUUAAGAAAGCAUGUAAAUUUGGAGCCGACCGUGUGAUCUUUUAGAUUUCUGUUUUUUUUUUUUUUUUUGUGGCCUAUUUUUGUCGCUCUCAUCAGCUUGAUUACUUGCAACUCUUGUCUGAUUCCUUUUGUUGCACUGUGAAAUGAAUACAGUAUGUCACAAUGAGAAAUUGACCUGCCGUUUAAUCUGGAGCCCUUAACAAGUUGCAAUAGCCCGAACCCAAUUAGGGAAUUGAUUGCUUGCUUUCAUUCCCCUCAUUUGCAUUAGGAUCAUAUGGAGAAGAUAAAUUAGCAUCUUAGCCUUUUGUUCAUGUUGCCAUUUAAGCUUGUGGAGUAUUUAUUACUAUGAAAUAGGCAGAGGGGGUGAAAAAAAAAGUCUUUGUCCCUCCAUGACAAAACCUUUGCUGAUAAUGUGAUGUUAAACAGCCACACAAAGAAAAGCCCUCACUCUGCCGUGGUCACUUGAUGAAUCAUUUAAAAGACAAUGUGGGUAUUGAAGCCUGGUUUCUAAGCUGCUCCAUACUUAACAGCCAUGACAAAAAAGAAAAAAAAAUGUAUAUGAAUGUUUAAACAUCAUGUUUGGUUUCCUUUCUUUGCAUCAUACUGAAAAACUUAACUAAUGAUGAUUUAUGAAUCCAAAACCAACAACACUCCCUCCCCCCGCCCCCACUCUCUCUCACUUAAGCAGCA
Long non-coding RNA from Poecilia latipinna (sailfin molly), 983 nucleotides. RefSeq lists it as uncharacterized. NCBI's taxonomy places the organism in Eukaryota, Metazoa, Chordata, Actinopteri, Cyprinodontiformes, Poeciliidae. The transcript has 2 exons. The record is from RefSeq and is a predicted model, not a curated record.